ACGUCCGUAAGUGCCUUCUAAGCAGUGGGUCACUGGUUCGAAUCCAGUUGGACGUGCCA
RNAcentral lists this transfer RNA (59 nucleotides) under Escherichia coli. RNAcentral's name for it is "tRNA-OTHER". The record is from RNAcentral. Lineage: Bacteria; Pseudomonadati; Pseudomonadota; Gammaproteobacteria; Enterobacterales; Enterobacteriaceae. RNAcentral also lists the same sequence under 4 other names.